This 440-nucleotide ribosomal RNA is filed under the name uncultured bacterium. RNAcentral's name for it is "partial 16S ribosomal RNA". It matches the Rfam family "Bacterial small subunit ribosomal RNA", at positions 338 to 795 of the family's 1533-position model. The record is from RNAcentral.
CCUACGGGUGGCAGCAGUGGGGAAUAUUGCACAAUGGGGGAAACCCUGAUGCAGCGACGCCGCGUGAGCGAAGAAGUAUUUCGGUAUGUAAAGCUCUAUUAGUAGGGAAGAAAAUGAAGGUAACUGACUAAGAAGGCCAGGCUAACUACGUGCCCGCAGCCGCGGUAAUACGUAGGGGGCAAGCGUUAGCCGGAUUUACUGGGUGUAAAGGGAGCGUAGACGGGGAGGCAAGUCAGCUGUGAAAGACCGGGGCUUAACCCGGGGACUGCAGUUGGAACUGGAUUUCUGGAGUGUAGGAGAGGCUGGCGGAAUUCCUAGUGUAGCGGUGAAAUGCGUAGAUAUUAGGAGGAACACCGGUGGCGAAGGCGGCCUGCUGGGCUAUAACUGACGUUGAGGCUCGAAAGCGUGGGGAGCAAACAGGAUUAGAUACCCCAGUAGUC